GAUAUAUAUGUUAUUUACCGGCUGAGAGGUCCGGAUGAGAAAAACUGUGCCCGAGGCCAGUUUUUAAGCCCGAGGGCACGGUUUUUCUCAUCCGGACCGACGCUGCUGGUAAAUAACGUGUUUAUU
Paramuricea clavata is the source of this 126-nucleotide non-coding RNA. The record is from the annotation of a GenBank genome assembly. NCBI's taxonomy places the organism in Eukaryota, Metazoa, Cnidaria, Anthozoa, Malacalcyonacea, Plexauridae.